GACGAACGCUGGCGGCGUGCUUAACACAUGCAAGUCGAACGGAAAGGCCCUGCUUUUGUGGGGUGCUCGAGUGGCGAACGGGUGAGUAACACGUGAGUAACCUGCCCUUGACUUUGGGAUAACUUCAGGAAACUGCGGCUAAUACCGGAUAGGAGCUCCUGCUGCAUGGUGGGGGUUGGAAAGUUUCGGCGGUUGGGGAUGGACUCGCGGCUUAUCAGCUUGUUGGUGGGGUAGUGGCUUACCAAGGCUUUGACGGGUAGCCGGCCUGAGAGGGUGACCGGCCACAUUGGGACUGAGAUACGGCCCAGACUCCUACGGGAGGCAGCAGUGGGGAAUAUUGCACAAUGGGCGGAAGCCUGAUGCAGCAACGCCGCGUGCGGGAUGACGGCCUUCGGGUUGUAAACCGCUUUCGGCUGUGACGAAGCGUGAGUGACGGUAAUGGGUAAAGAAGCACCGGCUAACUACGUG
RNAcentral lists this ribosomal RNA (468 nucleotides) under uncultured bacterium. RNAcentral's name for it is "partial 16S ribosomal RNA". It matches the Rfam family "Bacterial small subunit ribosomal RNA", at positions 28 to 507 of the family's 1533-position model. The record is from RNAcentral.